UGAGCGAAGUGAGCUGUGGUCUGAGACAACAACAUAAAAAGAGGCUCAGAGCGGUCUUCUAACCUUGGUAUUUUGCUCCCUAAUCAGACACACGGGCCUCCCUUGCCUUCCUCAUGGCAGACAUCUGGAGCAACGAGGCAUGGGGCCCACCUGGCUCGGAUAAUCCCGGUGAUGAUUCUCACCUCGGCUAGUUCCCCUACAAAUCGUUGCUGUGGCUAGCAAGAAAAGCCCUUUUCUGCAUCCUCAAGAGGGUUUCGCUCCCGGUGGCUAGAGGGUGAUAGGGUUUUUUCUCCCGGUGCGCGGCCGCCUAUUUAACGCGGCGCGGAGGGCAGCUGGGCGGCGCUGAUGGCAGCCUGGGCCGGCGAGGCGCGGGACGCACCCAUGUUCCCGGCGAGCACGCCCCACCCAUGCCCGCAUCCUUACCCGCCCACGGCAGCCAAAGCCGGGGAUGGCUGGAGGUUUGGAGCCAGGGGCUGCAGGCCCGAGCCCCCCUCCUUCCUCCCCGGCUACAGACAGCUCAUGGCCGCGGAGUACUUUGACAGCUAUCAGCGAGCGCAGCUCAUGGCCUUGCUGUCGCGAAUGGGUCCCCGGCCGGUCAGCAGCCGCGACGCUGCGGUGCAGGUGAACCCGCGCCGCGAUGCCUCGGUGCAGUGUUCGCUCGGGCGCCGCACACUGCAGCCUGGACGGCGCCGAGCCAGCCCCGACGCCCGGCCUGGUUCCUGCCAACCCCGCAGCCCCGCCAGGGCCGGGAGACCCCCGCGAUCCUGGCGCACCGUCGCCCUGUACUCGCCCGUGACCUUCGGUGGCCUCUCCUCCUCGCUGGAGGUUGCGGGGGACAGGCAGACGCCCACGAAGGGAGAGGGGAGACCGGCACCCACGGGGACCCGGGAACCCGAGCCGGGAGAGGUGGCAGUGAUGAAAGCAGUCCCCCAGCCGCAGAGCGAGGAGGGCGACGUCCAGGCUGAAGGGCAGGAUGGGCAGGAGCAGCCACCGCGGGAGGACCCGGACAGUGUGGCGGCGAUGCAGUCUGAGCCCGGGAGUGAGGAGCCACCUCCUGCUGUCGAGAUGGCUCAGGACCCCAGUGACGUGGCUGCCUCUAGAGACCGGGCCUCCCCACAGAGCACUGAGCAGGACAAGGAGCGCCUGCGUUUCCAGGUGAGGCCAGCCUGGCAACCUGGACGCUUCCAGAAUUGUAGGACUCCUUCGGGGCUAAGCUAGUGGUUGUGGCUGAUGCAGGGCAUAGAAUUCUUCAAUGCCCUCAGUCUGUAUUUAAAAAAAAACCCCAACCGCGUAUGGGUGUUUUGAUUGCAUGUAGUGUCUGUGCAUUUCGUUGGAGUGGAGAGAUGGGAGCGGAAGAGGGCGUCAGAUCCCCGGAACUGGCGAUUUACAGGUGGUUGUGAGCCACUAUGUGGGUUUGAGGAACUGAAUUAGGGUCCUCUAGAAGAACUGUGUUCUUUAACAGCUGAACCAUCUCUCCAGCUCUUCAGCUUGUAGGAGCUUGCAGCCGCUGCCAGUUAAUACAAUGGGAGGUGUUUACACAAUAAAACCAACCCCUACGUGGCCUGACCCACUGGCAGUCUCUGUUCUUGGGAAAUGACUGUGUAGUUGAUUCUGGUCACAUCAACACUACAAAUGAAGCCUCCGCGGCGAACGCACACCAGUCCAGUUUGGACCGUACUUCAGAUGGCUGAAGGAAGAUAAGAAAACACACAGCAGAAUAUCAUCAUGUGAACUUGGUCGCACGAGAGAUUCUUAGAGCAGAAGUACGGCUACUAUCACUGCAAAGACUGCAACAUCCGGUGGGAGAGCGCCUAUGUGUGGUGUGUGCAGGGCACCAGCAAGGUGUACUUCAAACAGUUCUGCCGCGUGUGUGAGAAGUCCUAC
Non-coding RNA from Rattus norvegicus (Norway rat), 1884 nucleotides. NCBI's taxonomy places the organism in Eukaryota, Metazoa, Chordata, Mammalia, Rodentia, Muridae. The record is from RefSeq and is a predicted model, not a curated record.